Molecule: ribosomal RNA, 407 nt
Filed under: uncultured bacterium
Lineage: Bacteria
Description: partial 16S ribosomal RNA
Rfam family: Bacterial small subunit ribosomal RNA
Source: RNAcentral
GACGAACGCUGGCGGCGUGCCUAAUACAUGCAAGUCGACCUUAGUGGCGGACGGGUGAGUAACACGUGGGAACCUACCCAUCAGAGGGGGAUAACUACUCGAAAGAGUGGCUAAUACCGCAUACUAUUGGAGCGGCCGCUAGCGGAUUCGCUAGUGGGUGGGGUAAAGGCUCACCAAGGCAACGAUCCGUAGCUGGUUUGAGAGGACGACCAGCCACACUGGGACGGAGACAAGGUCCAGACUCCUACGGGAGGCAGCAGUGGGGAAUUUUGGGCAAUGGGCGAAAGCCUGAUCCAGCCAUGCCGCGUGUGUGAAGAAGGUCUUCGGAUUGUAAAGCACUUUAAGUUGGGAGGCGUUACCAACAGAAUAAGCACCGGCUAACUUCGUGCCAGCAGCCGCGGUAAUAC